AUUGAACGCUGGCGGCAGGCCUAACACAUGCAAGUCGGACGGUAGCACAGAGGAGCUUGCUCCUUGGGUGACGAGUGGCGGACGGGUGAGUAAUGUCUGGGGAUCUGCCCGAUAGAGGGGGAUAACCACUGGAAACGGUGGCUAAUACCGCAUAACGUCGCAAGACCAAAGAGGGGGACCUUCGGGCCUUUCACUAUCGGAUGAACCCAGAUGGGAUUAGCUAGUAGGCGGGGUAAUGGCCCACCUAGGCGACGAUCCCUAGCUGGUCUGAGAGGAUGACCAGCCACGCUGGAACUGAGACACGGUCCAGACUCCUACGGGAGGCAGCAGUGGGGAAUAUUGCACAAUGGGCGCAAGCCUGAUGCAGCCAUGCCGCGUGUAUGAAGAAGGCCUUCGGGUUGUAAAGUACUUUCAGCGGGGAGGAAGGCGGUGAGGUUAAUAACCUCACCGAUUGACGUUACCCGCAGAAGAAGCACCGGCUAACUCCGUGCCAGCCGCCGCGGUAA
Molecule: ribosomal RNA, 506 nt
Filed under: uncultured bacterium
Lineage: Bacteria
Description: partial 16S ribosomal RNA
Rfam family: Bacterial small subunit ribosomal RNA
Source: RNAcentral